AGAAUCAACGCUGGCGGCGUGCCUAACACAUGCAAGUCGCACGAGAAAGUGGAGCAAUCCACGAGUAAAGUGGCGCACGGGUGAGUAACACGUGAAUAAUCUACCUCCGAGUGGGGAAUAACUGAGAGAAAUCUUAGCUAAUACCGCAUAACACUUACGAGUCAAAGCAGCAAUGCGCUUGGAGAGGAGUUCGCGGCCGAUUAGUUAGUUGGCGGGGUAAUGGCCCACCAAGACGAUGAUCGGUAUCCGGCCUGAGAGGGCGCACGGACACACUGGAACUGAAACACGGUCCAGACUCCUACGGGAGGCAGCAGUGGGGAAUUUUGCGCAAUGGGGGAAACCCUGACGCAGCAACGCCGCGUGGAGGAUGAAAUAUCUUGGUAUGUAAACUCCUUUCGAUGGGGAAGAUAAUGACGGUACCCAUAGAAGAAGCCCGGCUAACUUCGCGCCAGCAACCGC
RNAcentral lists this ribosomal RNA (459 nucleotides) under uncultured bacterium. RNAcentral's name for it is "SSU rRNA". It matches the Rfam family "Bacterial small subunit ribosomal RNA", at positions 26 to 518 of the family's 1533-position model. The record is from RNAcentral.